Molecule: long non-coding RNA, 378 nt
Organism: Nerophis ophidion (straightnose pipefish)
Lineage: Eukaryota; Metazoa; Chordata; Actinopteri; Syngnathiformes; Syngnathidae
Exons: 2
Source: RefSeq, a predicted model, not a curated record
GGGAGUGACAUAAAAGACCAGUGAAGCCAAGAGACCUUCGCCAGAACGUAGCCAAUCUCCCUUGAUGUUUUCUGUGAUCGUGUCCUGCCUCACGACCUCCUCCCGGAUCUUUGCUUGCCCUCCCCGAUCCUGGACCGCUGCUUGGAACCGGACAUCGUUGCCUCUCUCCAGCCCCCGACCGCUUGCCUCACUCUUGACUGCCUCUUUGCCUUCCCCCUUGGAUUUGACGAAAGAUACAUCCAACACGCAAAGACAACACCCUCUGGUAAAUUCCACAUUGUUAUUUCCACACAUCGUCCGCAUUCAUUCUCCAGUAGUAGCAUACACACCCCACACAUUCAUCAAAGGUUUUAAUAAACCUUCUAAAACCGCAGUUCA